AUACGUAGGGAGCGAGCGUUGUCCGGAUUUACUGGGUGUAAAGGGUGCGUAGGCGGGACUGCAAGUCAGACGUGAAAUACCGGGGCUUAACCUCGGGGCUGCGUUUGAAACUGCGGUUCUUGAGUGAAGUAGAGGCAGGCGGGAUUCCUAGUGUAGCGGUGAAAUGCGUAGAUAAUAGGAGGAACACCAGUGGCGAAGGCGGCCUGCUGGGCUUUAACUGACGCUGAAGCACGAAAGCAUGGGGAGCAAACAGGAUUAGAUACCCUGGUAGUCCAUGCCGUAAACGAUGAUAGCUAGGUGUGGGGGGACUGACCCCUUCCGUGCCGCAGCAAACGCAAUAAGCUAUCCACCUGGGGAGUACGACCGCAAGGUUGA
This 375-nucleotide ribosomal RNA is filed under the name uncultured bacterium. Its description in RNAcentral is "bacterial SSU rRNA". It matches the Rfam family "Bacterial small subunit ribosomal RNA", at positions 523 to 897 of the family's 1533-position model. The record is from RNAcentral.